AUGAACGCUGGCGGCGUGCCUCAUACAUGCAAGUCGAGCGCACAGACGAGGAGCUUGCUCCUCUGACGUUAGCGGCGGACGGGUGAGUAACACGUGGAUAACCUACCUAUAAGACUGGGAUAACUUCGGGAAACCGGAGCUAAUACCGGAUAAUAUAUUGAACCGCAUGGUUCAAUAGUGAAAGACGGUUUUGCUGUCACUUAUAGAUGGAUCCGCGCCGCAUUAGCUAGUUGGUAAGGUAACGGCUUACCAAGGCGACGAUGCGUAGCCGACCUGAGAGGGUGAUCGGCCACACUGGAACUGAGACACGGUCCAGACUCCUACGGGAGGCAGCAGUAGGGAAUCUUCCGCAAUGGGCGAAAGCCUUACGGAGCAACGCCGCGUGAGUGAUGAAGGUCUUCGGAUCGUAAAACUCUGUUAUUAGGGAAGAACAAAUGUGUAAGUAACUAUGCACGUCUUGACGGUACCUAAUCAGAAAGCCACGGCUAACUACGUG
This 496-nucleotide ribosomal RNA is filed under the name uncultured bacterium. Its description in RNAcentral is "partial 16S ribosomal RNA". It matches the Rfam family "Bacterial small subunit ribosomal RNA", at positions 29 to 507 of the family's 1533-position model. The record is from RNAcentral.